AAAAGAAACUAACAAGGAUUCCCUGAGUAACGGCGAGCGAAAAGGGAAGAGCCCAGCGCCGAAUCUCAUGCCCCACGGGUAUGAAGACAUGUGGCGUUUGGGACAAGGCAUUGCCUGUGCAGAAUGGCUAUCCAAGUCCCUCUUGAACGGGGCCAUUGCCCAUGGAGGGUGCUAGGCCCGUACGAUAGCUUUAUUGUGCAGUGCGUCUUGUCCGUAGAGUCGGGUUGCUUGGGAGUGCAGCCCAAAUCAGGUGGUAAACUCCAUCUAAGGCUAAAUAUGACCACGAGACCGAUAGCGAACAAGUACCGUGAGGGAAAGUUGAAAAGAACUUUGAAGAGAGAGUUAAAAAGUACGUGAAACCUCUCGGGGGUAAGCGGGCAGAACUUGCAAGUAUUGAUGGGAACAUUCAGGCUUAGCGUCGGCUGUUGAUGGUGCAAGUUAAGGUGCUCUUUCGGGAGUAUCUGACCUGUGCUGUUUGUGUUGUUGACGAUACGCCGCAUUUGUUUCUGUCAUCGGGUUGCAUGCGACUGAUUUAGUAGUUUAGGUGCCGGGGUACUGCAGAUCCUUGUGGUUUGAGUCCUGGUCUCCGACUAUUGAUGCGGUCGUUGAGUUUAACGAACAGGCGUUUAUCGCGGUCAAUGGUUUCAGCGAGUUGGGUGCUUGUGAUUUGUGGACGGGUAACCGUAGCACGUUGUCUGUACCUGCUGUCAGUUGGAGCUAUUUGGCACUGUUUGAAAUUGCAAUCUAAAGCAUGCGUGGUCUGCCUGUCCCGUCUUGAAACACGGACCUAGGAGUCUAACAUGUGCGCGAGUCAUUGGGACUGUAAACCCAAAGGCGUAAUGAAAGUAAAGAUUUGAUUGCAAAUUAGAGGAGAGAUCCUGGCUCUGUAUGGCAUCCCGAAAGGGUUGUUGUGCAGGGUAGGCGCAUCUCCGGGACGUCUAUACCUCUGAAGGUGGGGCGUACCUAGAGCGUACACGUUGGGACCCGAAAGAU
Molecule: ribosomal RNA, 993 nt
Filed under: Isotoma sp. KHP-2008
Lineage: Eukaryota; Metazoa; Arthropoda; Collembola; Entomobryomorpha; Isotomidae
Description: eukaryotic LSU rRNA
Rfam family: Eukaryotic large subunit ribosomal RNA
Source: RNAcentral